GAGGGUAGAGCUCAGGGGUGGAGCUCGUGCUUCGCAGGCACGAGGUCCUGAGUUCAAUCCCCAGUACCUCCA
Molecule: transfer RNA, 72 nt
Filed under: Camelus bactrianus (Bactrian camel)
Lineage: Eukaryota; Metazoa; Chordata; Mammalia; Artiodactyla; Camelidae
Also listed under: 2 other names
Rfam family: tRNA
About the family: Transfer RNA (tRNA) molecules are approximately 80 nucleotides in length. Their secondary structure includes four short double-helical elements and three loops (D, anti-codon, and T loops). Further hydrogen bonds mediate the characteristic L-shaped molecular structure. tRNAs have two regions of fundamental functional importance: the anti-codon, which is responsible for specific mRNA codon recognition, and the 3' end, to which the tRNAs corresponding amino acid is attached (by aminoacyl-tRNA synthetases). tRNAs cope with the degeneracy of the genetic code in two manners: having more than one tRNA (with a specific anti-codon) for a particular amino acid; and 'wobble' base-pairing, i.e. permitting non-standard base-pairing at the 3rd anti-codon position.
Source: Rfam by way of RNAcentral